Molecule: long non-coding RNA, 2701 nt
Organism: Papio anubis (olive baboon)
Lineage: Eukaryota; Metazoa; Chordata; Mammalia; Primates; Cercopithecidae
Source: Ensembl
AUGACACCCUUGUGGAAAAAAACAAGGGAUUCAUUCAACCAUUUUCAUGGAGGAGUCCCAUAAUCCUGAUAUUGACUUGAUAUGAGGUUCUCUGAAGGAAGAAACUUGUAUGAAUAAGGUAGAGAGGAAUGUCCAUGAAUUGUAUCCAGUAACCACACACACACACACACACACACACACACACACACACACACCCCCUGGGAAAGUUGUCUGGUAGAGGCAAGUGUUGGAGAAAAGUGAGAUAACUCACAUCUCUAUUGAGACUUAAAUAUGGGCACAUUGGCUCAGAAGGAUUUUCGAUAAGGCAUACAAAAUAUCCAGUAUUGGUGAAGGCUGGGAGACAACAGAAUGAAUGACUGAGUGAGGUAGCCAUGGGGAAUGGCUUGGGGAAAACACCCUUCUAAGCCAUGUGACACACCACAAUUAAACUAGAAGAGAUGAAGAACGGUGAGAGAUCACUUUAGAAUGACCCUUAGUGGUGUUGAGGAAGCUCUCUUUUUUCUCUAACCAGACCAUUUAAACUCCUCUGUACCCUGUCCCUCCCACCAUGGAAUUGUCAGGAGUGGUGCUUUGUGAUGUCUAAGCCAUGGAGUUGUCAGGAGUGGUGCUUUGUGAUGUCUUAGCCACCCCAGGGCUACCAUUGGCAGAGGAAUUUCUUGCUGGCCAAUCAAAACUGAAGAAUGGCAUCUCAUUGUCCAGAGGAGUAUAUAUAGAGAGAAAUCAGGAGGCCUAGGGUAGGCUACUGUUGCUCUAGGGUGUCAGAGAUUAGGAAAAAAUCAAGAGAAGCUCUAAGUUACUGUUGAUCUAGCAUGGCAGAGUCCAGCGAACAACAGGAAGGCACUAUACGGUACCGUUGUACUGAGAUAGAAAAUGUCCCUCAAGAAAUUAAGGCGGCUAUAGGCUACUAUUGCUCUAAGAUGGCAGAGCGUACCCAGGAGCCAAAAACGAAUGUAGGCGUCCGUUGCUAUACUCUCCCAGAAGACACCGAAGAGGAAGGAGAAGGUAGUUCAGACAUGCCUGGACCAUCCACAACCACAGGCGAAGAAAAUCCCAGCAUGAAAGGGAGGAAGAGAACUACUUGUGAAGCUAAGGAUGGUGGAAACGAUGAGUUGCUAAAAGUAGCAAAGAAAAUAAGAACAUUCAUUCAGCAGAAUUCACAGAGACGUAAAGCGGGCCAAAAGUCAGAAGUAAUAAUUUUCUGUGAGAGGAAUAGUAAAAACCGGGAUGAAAAUAAAGCAAAUGAGAAUGAAGAGAGCCAGGAGGAAUCCCCUACCUCAAGUUAUGCUGAGGGCCCAUCAUCGCCCACCUCAAGUGAUGCUGAGAGCCCCUUGGAAGACCAAGACUCGUCUCAUCUCUAGGUUAACCUCUAGAAAUGAUCUCCUGUGCAGAGAAACGAAAUAAUGCACCAGGAUUAUUGGAUGUUGAUGAUUAAAAUUCAACCAAAAGAUUCUGAAAAGCUCUGUGUGUCUCUGUGGUGUUUUCUAAUAAUGGGGAGGGAAGGAAAGAAGGGGAAGAGCAUGUGUAUGAGGAGGGAGGGAGUUGUGAACCUUCCAGGUUAUGAGACAGGCUGGCAGCCACAGUUAGCCAGACAUUGGGAUUAAGAACUAGAUGAGGAAUGAGCACUGAAGACAAAUUUCCUGCUUAAUACUUUAUCCCACAGUAAAAGAGGAAAAGGAAUUGAUGUUUCUGUGUGUGGGGGAGGGUGGCGGUGAGGGUAUAGAUAGAAUUGUGAUGUGUUGUGGGGUGGUAGUAUGCAAUAAUGAGUUUGAUUCCAUUUUUGAUGUUUGUCUGCCGCCAGAUUUUAAGCUUCAUCUCAUUCCCUUCUGCCCCACAUCCGGGCAAGCUGAUAAAAACAGCUAGAGAGUUACUGAAUUUAAAAUGGAAAUGAACAGACAUGCCUAGCCUCAACUAUUGGAAUUAUUCCCUUGACUACAAUCCCCAUACCCAUGGCAUCAGUUCUUUCCAAAUAUCCCCUACUGAUCAUGGACAAUCUGACCUAAUGACUAAUAAAUUAAAAUUAAGUCUUUGGUACUUGUAGUCAGCUUGAAAAAUGGGACCCUAUGGACUGCCUCACCCAGUUAAAAUAAGUUAAUAAUUAACAUCUUCCUCAGUUGUUUUUUUAAAAAGCCAAAUCUAAAUUAAAAUAGAAUCUUCAGUAAUUGAAGCCCAUUAUGUAAGACCUAUUUAGAGAAUUAGACCUAUAUAGAUGACUACCCUCACUGCUUAUGCAUUUAACAGCCAAAUUUGGAUUGUUCUUAAAUCUGGAAAAUAUAAAUGGUGCCUCAGUGUAUAUUACUGUAACCUUAAUGCCAUGGUCCCCCUCAUCAGGUCUUCAUACCUAAUAUUAUUCAAAUUACUGAUUCCAUCCAAUACGUAGCUGGUAAAUAAUUGGCAGUAAUAGCAAAGCAUUUGGCUAAAUGUUCUGUUCAGUUCCUGUUUCAGCAGCCUCUCACCUGCAGUGUACUUACCUUCACCUUAAAAGGGACACGAUACAACUCUACCAGGGUACUUGGUGGGGUAUCUUUCCACUCCUGUCAUCUCAUAUAAUCUUCACAGGCAGAAUGUUAACUAUAUCUAGAUUUUCUUAGAUGCUCAGGUAUGACAUUACACUGAUGACAGUCUCUUCUGAGGAGUUUCCUAUGACACACUUCUUCAGGACACAAAAAUGUUAGCAAAAAAGAUCACAAAAAGGAAAUCAGCC